RNAcentral lists this non-coding RNA (29 nucleotides) under Homo sapiens (human). The record is from RNAcentral. Lineage: Eukaryota; Metazoa; Chordata; Mammalia; Primates; Hominidae.
UACUGGGAUUGCAGGCAUGAGCCACCGUG